CCUACGGGGGGCUGCAGUAAGGAAUAUUGGACAAUGGAGGCAACUCUGAUCCAGCCAUGCCGCGUGAAGGAUUAAGGCCCUAUGGGUUGUAAACUUCUUUUAGACGGGACAAAACCCCUUUACGUGUAAAGGGUUGAUGGUACUGUCAGAAUAAGCAUCGGCUAACUUCGUGCCAGCAGCCGCGGUAAUACGAAGGAUGCAAGCGUUAUCCGGAAUUAUUGGGUUUAAAGGGUGCGUAGGCGGACUAAUAAGUCAGUGGUGAAAGCCUGCAGCUUAACUGCAGAAUUGCCGUUGAUACUGUUAGUCUUGAGUACAGUUGAGGUAGGCGGAAUGUGUCAUGUAGCGGUGAAAUGCUUAGAUAUGACACAGAACACCGAUUGCGAAGGCAGCUUGCUAAGCUGUAACUGACGCUGAGGCACGAAAGCGUGGGGAGCAAACAGGAUUAGUACCCAGUAGUCG
This 459-nucleotide ribosomal RNA is filed under the name uncultured Sphingobacteriales bacterium. Its description in RNAcentral is "bacterial SSU rRNA". It matches the Rfam family "Bacterial small subunit ribosomal RNA", at positions 338 to 796 of the family's 1533-position model. Lineage: Bacteria; Pseudomonadati; Bacteroidota; Sphingobacteriia; Sphingobacteriales. The record is from RNAcentral.